CUUCUGUACAUUUUGGAAGUGUUUUAAAAUAAUGUGCCUCCAUUAUAGCUCUGGUACAAAAACAGGAAACAAUUAACCAACGCCUCUUAAGAGGAAGGAUAUUAGCAGAACAUAUUUAAAAUUAAUAUCCAUUUCUUAUGCAGAUGUAUGUAGAAAAUAUUUUAAGGAAGAGCAGGAAGGUGGUAUUCUGCACAAAAUGUUUACUACAUUUAAUAUGUACUCAGAGGAGGAACACACAGGACAAGACUAACUUUACUUAUUUUUCAGGUCCCACAACAUCCAGCCCUUCAUUGCGUUGCUUCCCGCUAACACAACUCCAGCAUAUACCAUAUUGGUACAUUUUUACCACCACACUACCCCACUAGAGUUUGGAACAGAUUCGCAGAGACUCCGUACUGAGAAAAUAUUUUGAAUGGAGAACUAUAAUCAAGCAAGUCUGGGGCUGGCAUGCACACACGGCUAGCCAAGCAGCUAUUUAACCAUGUAUGCAUGAGCAUGCACUAUAGUAUGAGUGCAAAGUAAACGUGCAAACAGCUCUUCUCUGCAACUAUUAGGGUGAGACUCACGUAAUCUCACAAUUCCAGCAGAUGGGGCUUUAAUGCACACCAAAAUAUUGAAGAACUCAUGACAAAAUGGUGAGAGUUGGCAACACUGAAAAUUCCUUGAUUAAUUUAGCUAUUUGCUUGGAACUCUGGACUUUCCACUUCAAUCUUUUUAAAAAAGUUUUAUUACCUUAGCUUACAAACUGGCAUGAAGUUUUUCCCUACAGUUUUGGGAACGGAAAUUUGUUCAAACUCUUAAAUGAACAGUAUUAUCGAAAAAGUCACAAUUUAUGGGGAGGUUAACUUUUAUAGAUAUUUUAUGUACAGUUUUGGUCUGCUGCUGCCAACCAACUAUAUCCAUAUAGCUGACUAUACAGAGUCAGGAAUCAUAGAAUUGUAGAACUGGAAGGGACCUCGAGAUGUCAUCUAGUCCAGUCCCCUGCACUCAUGGCAGGACUAAGUAUUAUCUAGACCAUCCCUUUGAAGACUUCCCUUCCUUGUCUUCAACCACCUUAACUUUUACUGAAGUCUGGGGAAUAGCACAUUUAGAGACUGUAACAGUGUCCUCAUCUACAUAGGUCUCAUUUUGACCUUUGCUGCUCGCCACAAAGCUGAAGAAGACACAAUGCAAUAUUCCUUCACCCCACUUUGAACUUACCCGCUGUAGCAUAGGAAGAAGUUUCUCCUCCUACAGUCCUGCCCAUGUCUUGCUAGUAAUAUCUCUGUGACCUAUAUUUUGGGGGGGUUCAGAGCAGUAGGGUUUUUUUCUGGGGUCAUUUUAUUCAGCACUCUGUAGACUGAGAUUUGUUUUCUGUUUUAAAAACCAAGGAGUUCAGAAGAGGCAGACAAUUUCUUGCCACAGAUUUCUACGUCAGCUGGGAUGGAGGUAUGAAAGAGAUACUCAGCAUCAACAGCUUUACACAUCAACGCCCAAACUCUGAUACUCAAAAGUAGGGCUGACAAAUAAGUUCUGCUGUAUCUUCUGCCAGGGUUAUGAGGAAAAAUGAAAUUUAUUUGGAAUCCAUCCUAUAGGCUCCUCAUACACUGGAAAUUAAAAAUUUACCUAUACAAAACUAGAGGCAAAAACUGAGACAAUGAAGGUUGAACUUAAAGCCUCUGAAGGAAAAAAACCUGCAAAAUCUUUAUCUGAACUAAAUAGUUCAAAAACACGAUUUGAGGUCUUGGUACAAGAAUUUUCUAGUGUGUAGGAAACAAAAAAUAAAAAACUUUCAAAAAUAAAUAAGUAAGAACUAAACACACAGUUAUUUGGCCUCUAAGGUAGUGUAGAGGGAGAUUUUAUAAACCAUGUAAGACCAUUGUGACACAGAAAUAUGAGCCU
Molecule: non-coding RNA, 1881 nt
Organism: Caretta caretta (loggerhead turtle)
Lineage: Eukaryota; Metazoa; Chordata; Testudines; Cheloniidae
Source: RefSeq, a predicted model, not a curated record